Molecule: RNA transcript, 5378 nt
Organism: Peromyscus leucopus (white-footed mouse)
Lineage: Eukaryota; Metazoa; Chordata; Mammalia; Rodentia; Cricetidae
Gene name: zinc finger protein 175-like
Exons: 8
Source: RefSeq, a predicted model, not a curated record
GCGGCGGAGGCUGAGGUGUGACCAGGAGUGUCCUAGAGUAUCCAUUUCCGCUUAGAUCUUCACGUGGUUAGUUGUUGUUAUCGUUACCAGGACGCCGUGGGAGUUUGGAUUCGGAACCUGGGGAAUCCUGAGGGUCCGUGGGCGGAAGUCGCGGCCCCGGAGUGCCGUGUGCAGAGUUCUCUGCCGAGCAGUGUGAGAUCCCCGGGUCAGGCCAAGUCAUCCAUGCUGCUGAUUUUCUAGGACAACCAAGCUGAGUUCUGCUUGUCAGCUCUACUCAGCGGCUCCACAUGCUCACCCGAAUCCUGAGGAAAGCCAAGACCAAGAGUAGACACCACAGAGGACAUGUUGACCGACAUGAAUUUCUGCCAGAAGCCCCAGAGACUGGAAGUGGAGGAGCAGGAGGGGUCAUGUGAGAGAUUGGUGUCCUUUGAGGAUGUGACCGUGAACUUCAGCCAGGAGGAGUGGCGGUGCCUGGACCCUGCCCAGAGACGCCUGUACCAGGACGUGAUGCUCGAGAUCUACAGCCACCUCUUGGCAGUGGGGUAUCCCAGGCCAGAGGCCAUCCUCAAGGUGAAGGAAGUUCAUUUCCCACAUCAGAGGUGUCAGUGUCAAGGGGAAUCAGAGCAUGGCUCACCACAUCAGAUUUGUGUGAAAGCUGCAUUUCCAAAUGAUGUAUCAAGAGAACAUUCUGUUAUAGAGGAACUGUGGCAGGCUGGUGACCCUACAAAGACAGAUCAGCAAAACCAGAGCCCACUCUUGAGUUCUGGUACUUUCUUCAACCAGAAAACACUGAUAGGUGACAAUAGUUAUGAGCGUGAAGCCACCGGGGGAUAUAUACCUUUAGGCCUCCACCUCAUUUCUACACAAAACAGAUCUCCAAAAUGUUGCUCAUUUGAAAAAACUCUGCAGCCUAAUCCUAACCUUCAAGCAAAUGGUGAACCUCAAAGCAUUGCCCCAAAGCAGUCUAAUGGCGUUGUUGAAUCCUGUCAGUUCUUCACACAAGGCCCUUCUAAUGCUGUGUGCACAGUUCCUAACAGAGAAGAGAAAGCAUGCAAAGGUAAACAGCUGGGAAAAGUUCUCAGCCCUAAGCAGCCACUUAGACAGCAUGAAAUUCCUUCUCAGGACACUCCGGUUGCAUAUACCAUAUAUGGGAAAGUCUCCACUGCUAAGUCAGCUUUGUGUCAGCAGCAAAUUGCUAACACUAUAGAGACACCUUUUAUUUGUCACAUAUGUGGAAAAUCCUUCCUUCAGAAAUAUGAGUUGAGUUCUCAUCCAGGAACAAACAGAGGAGAGACACCUUCUGAAUGUCCUGACUGUGCAAAAUCACUUACAAGUACAUCCAGCCUGCAGGUGUCUCAUGAAGUCCAAACAAAGGAAAAACCUUACAAAUGCCAUGUCUGUGGGAAAUCAUUCAGCUAUGCAUCCCACCUAAAGGUCCAUCUUCGAAUACACACAGGUGAGAGACCUUAUGUGUGUUCUGACUGUGGGAAAGCCUUUAGCCAAAAGUCAGUCCUCACCACACAUCAGAGAAUUCACACUGGGGAGAAGCCUUACAUGUGUAAGCACUGUGGGAAAUUGUUUGUUUAUGCAUCAGAUCUGAAGAAGCAUAGUCGGUUUCACACAGGGGAGAAGCCUUAUGAGUGCCUUGACUGUGGAAAGUUGUUCAGUAAUAAAUCCCACCUGCCUGUGCAUCAUCGAAUUCAUACUGGUGAGAAGCCUUACAAAUGCUGCGACUGUGGGAAAUCAUUCAGAAGAAAAUCCCACCUUAAAGUACACAAUCGAAUACACACUGGUGAGAAGCCUUACAUAUGCCCUGAUUGUGGGAAGGCCUUCAGCCACAGUUCAGUUCUCAGCACACAUCAGAGAAUUCACACUGGGGAGAGGCCUUACACUUGCAGUGACUGUGGGAAAGCCAUGUCAUCUAAAGCCCAACUGAAUGAGCAUCAGAGAAUCCACACAGAGAUUGGUGUCAUUUGAGGAUGUGACCGUGGACUUCAGCCAGGAGGAGUGGCAGCAGCUGAACUCUGCCCAGAGACGCCUGUACCAGGACGUGAUGCUCGAGAUCUACAGCCACCUCUUGGCAGUGGCUGUCUUCUACUAUGAAAUUCUUGCAUGGACAAAUAUUUUCAGACCUGCUGAACUUCUAGGUAACUUCUCUGCUGGAGCCAGUACCUGGAUAAGGUCAGGCUCAACCUCAGACAUCAGGAUAUUUGGGCUGAUCCUCUUCACUGACAUCCACAGAGUUGACCUGGCUGAGGUUGGAGUAGAUACCCUCAUUUGGAAUUUCUGAGCAAGAGACGUGGACCAACUCUUCUCUCACCUUUGGGCUGUUUUGUAUUAAGAGGUACAAAAAAAUGAGAUGAAGUCUGGAUGGGUGAUAGUUUUGCUAAAGGAAUGCCCCCACAACUGACACUUGUACCCCCAGAAAUGACCACAGGAGGCCCCGUGGUGUUCUGUUCUUAGGACACCAGGUCCUUCCUUCCCUGUGCAGUCCUCUCACUUCUAUGUGUAGCACUACACAGCGCAGUCUAGUCCCUGGCAUGCAGCUUUUUCUGUUGCAGAUGCCACAGAGGAGAGGCUAGUCCAAAGCCAGUCAGUGCCGUGCUACUUUGUGAAUGGAGUAGCUGCCCUGUGCACAUGUGUGCCCACUUUUCUUCUAGCCUAGCCCCCUCCAAGCCCACCAGUGAGCUGUGGGGCUCUAGGGAAUAACUCAACAUUUAGAAUUAUCUGUUGUGAUCUGUAGAGUGGGGCUCACGUUUAGAUCAGACUUGACUUGUAGUGCUUGAACAGCAUGUAUAGACAAGGGUAUGUCAAGCUCAGCAUUAGGUGCUAAGACUAGACCAUGUUCUCACAGCUCUAGUGUCCAGCAUGGAGAUCACACACCACUUGUAUGUGUUUCUGCAUGUUUUCCCCCACCACUGAGUACUAGGAAACCUCAGUGGUUUCCAUUUUAGUGGUCUUCUGUAUAAUGUAUCCUUGAUGUGCCUGUCUGUACAACCCUCUAUCACACUAGUUUGAUGAGAGCAGGGCUCAACUCCUCUGUUGUGCCCCUUGGCACUAGGGAUCCAGAACUGAGUACCUGACCCUCACAUCCUCCAUGUUCUAGGGACUGUAUGCUUAUCCAAGGAAGAGAAGACAGGACUCGAGAAGCAGGUUAGCAUUUUUCCCCAGCCAGCCAUACCUCAGAUAGGCACCAUAGGUCCCCAACCCUGACCCAGCAACCAAAGAGACACAUUUAUCUGGACUAUUUUCUCCAUGGUUGAACCAACUCCAAGGAAUGUUUCUUGAAAGGUGAGGUUGGUUGUAAUCUUGGAGUUGUGGGGACAGCUGACUUCCAGUAGGCAGCAGGCAUCCCCUGCUCACAGACCCAGAGCACAGAUAAUAUUAGGUUCCUGGCACAGCCAGACUCCAGGGCUUCUGGGAUGUGGAUGAGGAUGUGAGAGGGUGACAUGCAGGAUCAAGAAUGGAACCAGGUGCAGAAAGCCCCUGAUGUUCUGCCCUUAGCCAGUCCCAGGACAGGGUUCCAUACCAGCCUUACAGUACAGCUCCUAUGACCUCCCAGAGCCUGUGACUUUCCUGCUACAUGCACAGAUGUCUGCUUCAGUAGUUCCAUGUGAAACUACUACUACUUCUCCUCCUCCUCUUCCUUCUUCUUUUUUCUACCCCCUUUCUUCUGCCAUUAUCUCCUGUGAAACUCUGGUAUCCACAGAGAAAAGGUGGAAUUUGCCCUGGGCAGUGUGAUUAUGGUCACCAAAGUCUUAUCCUAUCAAUCCUUGCGUGAAUCAGUUGCCAGAGACAGACACAGUGCAAAAUAGAGGCAUGGUAUAGGAUGAUCAGUGGGACUCAAAGAAUGGAAUGGUUGCUGUUUCUGAUAUUUUGAUGGGGAAUUAUAGAUUCCAUGUCAGAAGCCAUGUGGGGAGAUGAGGCUUAGCUUGACUCAGAGCGUAUAACCCCUGUUCCCAAGCCCACUCACUUGCCUGGAACAGGCCCAUCAGCAUCAUGGCGGGAGGUGUCUGGGUCCUGGGCUCGUAUGAGGGAUGACCACAGCAAGGGCUUACUGUGGGGCUGGAGAUGCUGUGAGAGAGUCCUUGUUCAUAGAAGGCAAACCCCCAAUCCACAGGUGGCAAAACCAUAUGCAGGGAAUAGAAAGACACCUCGGAGCCAGAGGCCAGAGAGAUGUUAGAGGCAUUCUUGGAGGAGUAGAGAAUACGCUCUGCUCCCACCUCGCACUUCUCCGGAUAGUGGGGUCUGAAUCAGACAUUUUUCCUGAUUCACAAGCUGUUGACAGUUUUUUUUAAAGAUCUUCAGACUGUCUUGAGAGUCCCUUCAGGAAUCUCUGAGGUUUACCCAGGCUUGGGAGAUGGGACAAUGUGUGAGGACAUUUUAUUUCUUACACCUUGUGGAAGAUGUGGUCGAGCUCCUUCCAUUUAUUGGGUGGAGCUCACACUGUACAACAUUCUACAGCACACAGGGCCUCACCAGUCAAAAGUCAUCAAGCCUCAGCUCGUAUCAACAAUCAGAAGCCCGAGAGGUGCUGCAGUAGACCCCGAAGGCUGUCAGAUUCACACGGAUGAAGGUUCAGUGUGGGGAUUUAGGAACAUAAAAGAUAGUAGUGGUCAUGGGUGAAGUGUUGAACGUUCCCUCAGUCAGCAUUUACUGUGGGCUGGGGCUGAGACAGAUGCAGGAAACGCUACUGAUGCCCUUGGGGUUCUGCCCAUGCUGGGAGAGCCAGACAAAUGCCCCAAAGGGACAGGCCAGGGGGCUGUGCUGUGUCGUGAUUUCUUCUGUAUUACAACAUCCCAUCCUGGAGCAAAGCUCCUGAAGACUUAGGAAGUUUUGAUGGGAGGCUCAUCCAGACCUGGGAAGUAAAGAACACAUAAGUCUUCGGAAACACCCGAACCUGAUCAGAUACACAAUGUGCCUUUCUCCCUAAGCUGAGAUAAGCAGUAAGGACUGCCGAGGAAACAGACUAGCCAAGCUGCUUGGAAGAGACAUUCUCCAACCUGUGGAAUGACCUACCCAGCAUACAGUAAGUGACGGUUGCAGUUUUUGUGAACCAAUGCCCAUGCGGGAGUGGGCUUUCAGGGAUGCAUUGCCUUUGAGACACUUCUUCUGUAAUUAACCCCAAUAAACCCCAAUAAAUGCAUUGGUUCACCAUGUUGUACUCUGGUGUGUUGUUAUGUUAACCUGCUGUCAGCUCACCUAUUGGGUGACCAGGCAUUUGUCAUACAUGUCUUGCCAGUUUCCUGUGGGCACACUGAGCAGGCUAUACAUGGUUUCUCCUCUCAGAAAACAAGAGAAUAUUUCUGGGUAUGUGGCUCUGUUGUGGAUGGGCAGUAUGGAGAGAUGAGGUAAAGACCCAUGUGAUAGAACAAAGA